Molecule: ribosomal RNA, 583 nt
Filed under: Hansenula anomala
Lineage: Eukaryota; Fungi; Ascomycota; Saccharomycetes; Phaffomycetales; Wickerhamomycetaceae
Description: LSU rRNA
Rfam family: Eukaryotic large subunit ribosomal RNA
Source: RNAcentral
AAAAAGCGGAGGAAAAGAAACCAACAGGGAUUGCCUCAGUAACGGCGAGUGAAGCGGCAAAAGCUCAAAUUUGAAAUCUAGCACCUUCGGUGUUUGAGUUGUAAUUUGAAGAUGGUAACCUUGGGUUUGGCUCUUGUCUAUGUUCCUUGGAACAGGACGUCAUAGAGGGUGAGAAUCCCGUCUGAUGAGAUGCCCAUUCCUAUGUAAGGUGCUAUCGAAGAGUCGAGUUGUUUGGGAAUGCAGCUCUAAGUGGGUGGUAAAUUCCAUCUAAAGCUAAAUAUUGGCGAGAGACCGAUAGCGAACAAGUACAGUGAUGGAAAGAUGAAAAGAACUUUGAAAAGAGAGUGAAAAAGUACGUGAAAUUGUUGAAAGGGAAGGGCAUUAGAUCAGACUUGGUGUUUUACGAUUAUCUUCUCUUCUUGAGUUGUGCACUCGUAUUUCACUGGGCCAGCAUCGAUUCGGAUGGCAAGAUAAUGGCAGUUGAAUGUGGCUUCACUUCGGUGGAGUGUUAUAGCUUCUGCUGAUAUUGCCUGUCUGGAUCGAGGGCUGCGUCUUUGACUAGGAUGCUGCGUAGUAGGGAGUU